This is a long non-coding RNA of Macrobrachium nipponense, 1593 nucleotides long. RefSeq lists it as uncharacterized. The transcript is spliced from 4 exons. The record is from RefSeq and is a predicted model, not a curated record. NCBI's taxonomy places the organism in Eukaryota, Metazoa, Arthropoda, Malacostraca, Decapoda, Palaemonidae.
UACAACAGGCCAUGAAUCAAGAGAAGCGUCAUCCCGUCUGAGGAAGAACUGCGAACGAUUGGGUGUUUGAAGAGAAGGAUCCAAACACAGCUCUCACCUGGGAUAUCAACAAUGGCUGUUUGAGGUGUCUGUACAAACCUUAAUUUGGAUCCAGAGAUUAAGCCAUUACCAGGCCAUUUCCUGACGGACAGUUUCUGCCUCUACAUCCCUGGAGUGACCUCCGUUGAGGAUAUUCUGAAAGCUACUGAAACAAUUGCCAUAAAGAUCAUGCCCACCACAUUAUUCCUAGGGCCGGACUAUCUCCUGUUCCCACAGCUGAACCUGACGCAAGACGAAGAGGUAAACUGCUUCGUUUCCAAUAUGGAACGCCUGUGUGAUAUAUACUCAAUCAUCCUUCCUAAGUCACUCAAGCAAUCACAGAAAUUCAUUAAAAAAUGUCAGAGUCUCGAUAUUGAAUGGGAACUGCCUCGUUAUUUAGGACCUAGUACCAUUCCAAAUCUGGACUCAUGGUGAAAUCACAGUGCCAACUAAGAAGUGCCUGGCGUUGUAGUGUCAGCUGUUCUCGAAGAUGACCAGACCAAAUCUAUAGGUCCCGUCCACAUGGUCGAGCUUUGCCCGACGAACUUUGUUCGAUGUGACGUCAGAAGCGGGAAAAGUCAGAGCCUUAUCUGCUAUUUCUCUGCUUCUGACGUCACAUCGAACAGAGUUCGUCAGACAAAGCUCGACCGUGUGGACGGGCCUUUAGAGCACCGUCAUUUGAGUUCCCUCCAUGUUUUUCCAAGUAGGGCCUUGUUUUUAUUGGUCCUAUGGCUGUGACAACAACAAAACGUGAUUAUCCAGAAAAGAGCUUCUUCAGAUUUCCUAAGGACAAAGAACAGUAGGUGAUUUUUGUGUGCGGAAAUCUCUAUAGAUGGGCGUAUAUGGAUUGUAACAUGCAGCUGAUCAUCCGUGAAUGUAACACCCAUGUUAUCGUUUUUGUUAAAUGUAUUAAGGCAAUGCUAGUGGAAACUAUGAUCCAUCAGGGAACCUUUUGGCGCCCAAAGCAAAGAGCUUUGUUUCUUGUUUAUAUCCCAGUCCAGCACAAUGUUUUUAAAGUACAACGUGAAUUGAUGAGAUAUGUAUACGUGUAAAGUUAAUAGUCAUAGGUUAAUAUACUUGGUACGAAAAUAUAGAUUAUGCUGACAAUUUCGCAUAUUCAUAGAAAGAGUUGAUGAGAUUUUUGUAACCAGAACAGCUACACUUAUAUGAUCCUCGGGGAUGUUGACAGAACUGAUUGAUUUAUAUCAGCAUCGUAUUCCCUCUGCUGUAGCACAUGUAGCUAAUCCUUAGUAUUUAAUGUCUAUUGUCACUCUCAACCUGCGAUGCAGACUUCAUUAUUAUUCUAAAUUUGAAACCCGGCAUUUAUCAAAAUGCCAGGGUAAAAGCAUAACAGAAAAGCCAAAAUUCUCAUGUAUCAGUAAUAUAGCGUAGGUCAGAGCUGGUCAAAGAGUCGAUUGCGGCCGCUUAUUUGGUCGAUCACCGUUCCCCCACAAUCCUGUAUAAUCAAACAAAAGCACAAGUAUAUAUAUAUAUAUAUAUAUAUAUAUAUAUAUA